CCUACAUGGUUGAAUCAAUUCAUUAGAUUUGAUCCAAGUUAAGUGGCAGUAGCAUAUAGCUAGUCAGGAGAAAGAAUGGGACAGGACUUAGCCAACUUCGGCACCACAUUCAGUGCAAGGGGAUAAAGCACAGCACUUGUUGUGAGAGGCAAUCAAGCAACAGAAGGGACCAGACACAUCUCCUACACAAAAAAAUCUGGUGGCAAACUUGGGGAAUUUAGAAGAGAGACAUGUAUGUGCUUUAUUACUGAUUUUGUUGUUUUGGGGACAAAAUUGGGAGGAAUAUAAUUUGGAGGCUUUUGCUGUGUUGUUCCUUUUUUUUUUUUUUUUUUUUUUUUUGGAGAUGUCUCAAACUUUUGCAAAUGAUAUAAAUCAAGCAAUCAUUUUAUCUUUUACCAAUAAUAAAAAUGAAAUAUAUAGCAAUGGAUUCUGUAUUUCAUCAGGUGAUAUCAGCUCAUUUCAUGCUAAAAUCUAUUUUCUGUCUUCCUAAUUUAGGCUUCUCUGGCAAACUUGAAGUUUUAAAAAUGAGUGGCUUUGAUUUCCUUCCAGGUAGAACUUUUAAGAUCUCAUGGCUGCUGGACGGCUGUGCAUUGCUGUUUUUCUGGAGUAUUGAUGGAAAGUGUCCUGAUGUUAUACAAAGACUAUUAGUUCUUCACUCAACCAGUAAGGAUUUAAAUGGUACAUAAGGGAGACUUUAUAAGUAACAGUAAAAAUACAUAUAGAUAUUUCUUUGUCCUUUCAUAUUUCCCCUUUCAUACAAGUUAUUUAAAAUAAAC
RNAcentral lists this long non-coding RNA (776 nucleotides) under Gallus gallus (chicken). RNAcentral describes it as "lncRNA (ENSGALG00010002286.1)". The record is from RNAcentral. Lineage: Eukaryota; Metazoa; Chordata; Aves; Galliformes; Phasianidae.